Molecule: ribosomal RNA, 305 nt
Filed under: uncultured bacterium
Lineage: Bacteria
Description: bacterial SSU rRNA
Rfam family: Bacterial small subunit ribosomal RNA
Source: RNAcentral
CCUACGGGGCGCAGCAGUGGGGAAUAUUGCACAAUGGGGGAAACCCUGAUGCAGCGACGCCGCGUGAGUGAAGAAGUAUUUCGGUAUGUAAAGCUCUAUCAGCAGGGAAGAAAAUGACGGUACCUGACUAAGAAGCCCCGGCUAACUACGUGCCAGCAGCCGCGGUAAUACGUAGGGGGCAAGCGUUAUCCGGAUUUACUGGGUGUAAAGGGAGCGUAGACGGUGAUGCACGUCAGAGGUGAAAGCCCGCGGCUCAACUGCGGGACUGCUUUUGAAACUGUAUAACUAGAGUGCAGGAGAGGUAA